CUACGGGCUGCAGCAGCUGCGAAUUUUCUACAAUGCACGCAAGUGUGAUAGAGCGAGCCAAAGUGCUUAUCGUACAGAUAAGCUUUUCUUCAGUGUAAAAACCUGGAGGAAUAAGGACUGGGAAAGAUCGGUGCCAGCCGCCGCGGUAAUACCGACAGUUCGAGUGGCAUCCAACUUUAUUGGGUCUAAAACAUCCGUAGCUUGUUAUUUAAGUCUCUUGUGAAAUCUAACGUCUCAAGCGUUAGGCUUGCAGGAGAUACUGAAUAGCUAGAGACCGGUAGGCGUAAGGAGUACGGCGAAGGUAGUGGUAAAAUAUGUUAAUCUUCGUUGGACUAACGAUUUAGCGAAGGCACCUUACGAGGACGGAUCUGACAGUCAGGGAUGAAGGCCAGGGGCGCAAAACGGAUUAGAUACCCCUGUAGUC
Molecule: ribosomal RNA, 424 nt
Filed under: uncultured archaeon
Lineage: Archaea
Description: partial 16S ribosomal RNA
Rfam family: Archaeal small subunit ribosomal RNA
Source: RNAcentral